This is a long non-coding RNA of Homo sapiens (human), 323 nucleotides long. Ensembl annotates it as long intergenic non-protein coding RNA 2244. The record is from Ensembl. NCBI's taxonomy places the organism in Eukaryota, Metazoa, Chordata, Mammalia, Primates, Hominidae.
GAGCUGUUAGUACUGCUUUCAUCUGUUUUACAGCCACAGCGACAGCAGUUCCCUGGCUUCUGGAAGGAGUGUCGGUCUAUCCAAAAAAUGUACUAACAGAUAUGUAAAGUCUGUCAUCCAUUUGCAGCAAAUUUUGCCUACGGUAUGAAAUAGGAGUUCAAUUUGACAUUGAAUAUUGAUAUCUUAGCAAUAUUAUCUCCCAAUCUGUGAACACGAAAUUUCUUUAUAUUUAUUCAAAUUAUCUUUGGUUUUUAAUGAUGUUAAAUCCAAGUAUUCUUUGUGAUGCUGUUGUAAAUGGAAUUUUUUGUGUUGUUCAUUGCUAA